GGGGAGCAGCCCAGAGCCUGAAUCAGUGUGUGUGUUAGUGGAAGCGUCUGGAAAGGCGCGCGAUACAGGGUGACAGCCCCGUACACAAAAAUGCACAUGCUGUGAGCUCGAUGAGUAGGGCGGGACACGUGGUAUCCUGUCUGAAUAUGGGGGGACCAUCCUCCAAGGCUAAAUACUCCUGACUGACCGAUAGUGAACCAGUACCGUGAGGGAAAGGCGAAAAGAACCCCGGCGAGGGGAGUGAAAAAGAACCUGAAACCGUGUACGUACAAGCAGUGGGAGCACGCUUAGGCGUGUGACUGCGUACCUUUUGUAUAAUGGGUCAGCGACUUAUAUUCUGUAGCAAGGUUAACCGAAUAGGGGAGCCGAAGGGAAACCGAGUCUUAACUGGGCGUUAAGUUGCAGGGUAUAGACCCGAAACCCGGUGAUCUAGCCAUGGGCAGGUUGAAGGUUGGGUAACACUAACUGGAGGACCGAACCGACUAAUGUUGAAAAAUUAGCGGAUGACUUGUGGCUGGGGGUGAAAGGCCAAUCAAACCGGGAGAUAGCUGGUUCUCCCCGAAAGCUAUUUAGGUAGCGCCUCGUGAAUUCAUCUCCGGGGGUAGAGCACUGUUUCGGCAAGGGGGUCAUCCCGACUUACCAACCCGAUGCAAACUGCGAAUACCGGAGAAUGUUAUCACGGGAGACACACGGCGGGUGCUAACGUCCGUCGUGAAGAGGGAAACAACCCAGACCGCCAGCUAAGGUCCCAAAGUCAUGGUUAAGUGGGAAACGAUGUGGGAAGGCCCAGACAGCCAGGAUGUUGGCUUAGAAGCAGCCAUCAUUUAAAGAAAGCGUAAUAGCUCACUGGUCGAGUCGGCCUGCGCGGAAGAUGUAACGGGGCUAAACCAUGCACCGAAGCUGCGGCAGCGACACUAUGUGUUGUUGGGUAGGGGAGCGUUCUGUAAGCCUGUGAAGGUGUACUGUGAGGUAUGCUGGAGGUAUCAGAAGUGCGAAUGCUGACAUAAGUAACGAUAAAGCGGGUGAAAAGCCCGCUCGCCGGAAGACCAAGGGUUCCUGUCCAACGUUAAUCGGGGCAGGGUGAGUCGACCCCUAAGGCGAGGCCGAAAGGCGUAGUCGAUGGGAAACAGGUUAAUAUUCCUGUACUUGGUGUUACUGCGAAGGGGGGACGGAGAAGGCUAUGUUGGCCGGGCGACGGUUGUCCCGGUUUAAGCGUGUAGGCUGGUUUUCCAGGCAAAUCCGGAAAAUCAAGGCUGAGGCGUGAUGACGAGGCACUACGGUGCUGAAGCAACAAAUGCCCUGCUUCCAGGAAAAGCCUCUAAGCAUCAGGUAACAUCAAAUCGUACCCCAAACCGACACAGGUGGUCAGGUAGAGAAUACCAAGGCGCUUGAGAGAACUCGGGUGAAGGAACUAGGCAAAAUGGUGCCGUAACUUCGGGAGAAGGCACGCUGAUAUGUAGGUGAAGUCCCUCGCGGAUGGAGCUGAAAUCAGUCGAAGAUACCAGCUGGCUGCAACUGUUUAUUAAAAACACAGCACUGUGCAAACACGAAAGUGGACGUAUACGGUGUGACGCCUGCCCGGUGCCGGAAGGUUAAUUGAUGGGGUCAGCGCAAGCGAAGCUCUUGAUCGAAGCCCCGGUAAACGGCGGCCGUAACUAUAACGGUCCUAAGGUAGCGAAAUUCCUUGUCGGGUAAGUUCCGACCUGCACGAAUGGCGUAAUGAUGGCCAGGCUGUCUCCACCCGAGACUCAGUGAAAUUGAACUCGCUGUGAAGAUGCAGUGUACCCGCGGCAAGACGGAAAGACCCCGUGAACCUUUACUAUAGCUUGACACUGAACAUUGAGCCUUGAUGUGUAGGAUAGGUGGGAGGCUUUGAAGUGUGG
Molecule: ribosomal RNA, 1883 nt
Filed under: Escherichia coli
Lineage: Bacteria; Pseudomonadati; Pseudomonadota; Gammaproteobacteria; Enterobacterales; Enterobacteriaceae
Description: partial 23S ribosomal RNA
Rfam family: Bacterial large subunit ribosomal RNA
Source: RNAcentral